This is a long non-coding RNA of Momordica charantia (bitter melon), 790 nucleotides long. RefSeq lists it as uncharacterized. NCBI's taxonomy places the organism in Eukaryota, Viridiplantae, Streptophyta, Magnoliopsida, Cucurbitales, Cucurbitaceae. The record is from RefSeq and is a predicted model, not a curated record.
UCUCUCUCUCCUCUCUCUCUUUCUCCCUCUAGCCGCUGAAGGAACUGUGGUGGGUGGUGAGUGUGUACAGAGAAAUUAAUCUUCAGAAAGAAAGAUUCAUUUGCGACCCGGUGAGUCUGGCCGAGUUAGGCGCUAUUCGACUCGGCGGCGGCGGCGGCUGGUUUUGCCGGAGGAAGAAAAACAGAGAGACGAAGACGGAGAAGAAGAUUGAAAUUAAAGGGUGUAUUAUGGGAUUUUGGCAGCAGAUGAUUUUUCCCGUACGCCGUGUUUGGCUCGCCGUUUAUGCCCGCCUUAAAAAUCCCAAAAACGAUCAAGGACUUUUGAAACUUCACGACGAUGUAGAAACAUGCGGCUAUCAAGAUGUGAAGGUGAUGUGGGAGAUACUAAGUAGAUCAGAAACCGAGCUGAUAAAUCACCACCACCAAAUAAGGCGGAAGCACAAAUCUUUUUGGAAGCCUUUGGUGUGGUCUAACCCUAACUCUAACCAUGAUCCAGUUAGAACAACAACUUUUCCAACUUUCGACCCAAUUUCAUAGGGAGACAAGUCAAGUCCUCUCCCAUUUUCAAAUUCCUCGAACAAUAAUGAUGUGAAAAGCUUAUGUUGUAUCCUUGGCAUCCUUGCUUUUUAGGCCAAUUUUGGGCUUAAAGUAAGUGAAGUUUUGUAAAUACAAAUAAUAAUUGCUUCUAAAAGAUUUCUAAUAAAAAACCUGAAAUUAACACUUGAAGGAAUCAUCUUCCCUUUUGUUAAAGCUGUGAUGUAAUGUACCAUUCACAAUGACUUUGGUGCAAA